This 289-nucleotide ribosomal RNA is filed under the name uncultured Abiotrophia sp. RNAcentral describes it as "partial 16S ribosomal RNA". It matches the Rfam family "Bacterial small subunit ribosomal RNA", at positions 253 to 524 of the family's 1533-position model. The record is from RNAcentral. Lineage: Bacteria; Bacillati; Bacillota; Bacilli; Lactobacillales; Aerococcaceae.
UAAGGUACGGGCCUACCGAAGGCGAUGAUGCAUAGCCCGAGUUGAGAGACUGAUCGGGCCACAUUGGGGACUGAGACACGGGCCCAAAACUCCGUACGGGGAGGCAGCAGUAGGGAAUCUUCCACAAUGGACGCAAGUCUGAUGGAGCAACGCCGCGUGAGUGAAGUAAGGGUUUCGGCUACGUAAAGCUCUGUUGUUGGUGAAGAAGGACGAGGGGUAGUAACUGACCUUUGUUUGACGGUAAUCAAUUAGAAGUCACGGCUAACUACGUGCCAGCAGCCGCGGUAAU